UGGGGAAUAUUGCACAAUGGGCGCAAGCCUGAUGCAGCCAUGCCGCGUGUGUGAAGAAGGCCUUCGGGUUGUAAAGCACUUUCAGCGGGGAGGAAGGCGGUGAGGUUAAUAACCUCACCGAUUGACGUUACCCGCAGAAGAAGCACCGGCUAACUCCGUGCCAGCAGCCGCGGUAAUACGGAGGUUGCAAGCGUUAAUCGGAAUUACUGGGCGUAAAGCGCACGCAGGCGGUCUGUCAAGUCGGAUGUGAAAUCCCCGGGCUCAACCUGGGAACUGCAUUCGAAACUGGCAGGCUAGAGUCUUGUAGAGGGGGGUAGAAUUCCAGGUGUAGCGGUGAAAUGCGUAGAGAUCUGGAGGAAUACCGGUGGCGAAGGCGGCCCCCUGGACAAAGACUGACGCUCAGGUGCGAAAGCGUGGGGAGCAAACAGG
Molecule: ribosomal RNA, 429 nt
Filed under: Chloroflexota bacterium
Lineage: Bacteria; Bacillati; Chloroflexota
Description: Chloroflexi bacterium partial 16S ribosomal RNA
Rfam family: Bacterial small subunit ribosomal RNA
Source: RNAcentral